This is a small nuclear RNA of Cimex lectularius (bed bug), 190 nucleotides long. RefSeq annotates it as U2 spliceosomal RNA. The record is from RefSeq and is a predicted model, not a curated record. NCBI's taxonomy places the organism in Eukaryota, Metazoa, Arthropoda, Insecta, Hemiptera, Cimicidae. The transcript has a single exon.
AUUGUAUUUUGAUGAGGUUUAUCAAAAUCAAAAUAUCAGUUCUUAUCUGAUUUAUCUCUGGUAAGACUUCCAUAGGGAGUCAAACAGAUUAAACUGAUUUUUUUUUAAAGACAGAGGGCUAGGGGCUUGUGACUCUGGCGCAGAUUGAAAAAAAAUUGUCACGCUCAGAUUCUCUUGGAGUUUUACAGCC